AUGGCUCACGGGCCCGGCGUGCUGAUGCUUAAGUGCGUGGUGGUCGGCGAUGGGGCGGUGGGCAAGACGUGCCUACUCAUGAGCUAUGCCAACGACGCCUUCCCGGAGGAGUACGUGCCCACUGUCUUCAACACUACGCAGUCAGCGUCACCGUGGGGGGCAAGCAGUACCUCCUAGGACUCUAUGACACGGCCGGACAGGAAGACUAUGACCGUCUGAGGCCUUUAUCUUACCCAAUGACCGAUGUCUUCCUUAUAUGCUUCUCGGUGGUAAAUCCAGCCUCAUUUCAAAAUGUGAAAGAGAAGUGGGUACCGGAACUUAAGGAAUACACACCAAAUGUACCCUUUUUAUUAAUAGGAACUCAGAUUGAUCUCCGAGAUGACCCCAAAACUUUAGCAAGACUGAAUGAUAUGAAAGAAAACCUAUAUGUGUGGAACAAGGACAGAAACUAGCAAAAGAGAUAGGAGCAUGCUGCUAUGUGGAAUGUUCAGCUUUAACCCAGAAGGGAUUGAAGACUGUUUUUGAUGAGGCUAUCAUAGCCAUUUUUACUCCAAAGAAACACACUGUAAAAAAAAGAAUAGGAUCAAGAUGUAUAAACUGUUGUUUAAUUACGUGAGAAACAUCUUCAGUGGCCAAGGAAACUGUCCAUUUCUCUCAGAAAGCAAAUGAAAUGCUACAGCUAUACCCAGACCUUUUAUAGGUAAUGAAGCAGUUCAAAACUUGAAAGAAAACAAAACCUGUCCUCAGAAUUCUAUAAAGGUUAUUAAGAAUGUUCCUUAAAGGUUUAAGAAGCAGUAAGCAGCAUCUGAAGCCACAAUCUAUUAUAAAUACUCUAUUUCAACUAGAAGGUACAAUCUCUCAGGGGUUUCAUAGUUUAAAAAGCUACAAUCACAUCAUGUUGUAACUACAUAAAAAACAGUGCUGUAAAUGGA
Rhinopithecus roxellana (golden snub-nosed monkey) is the source of this 932-nucleotide RNA transcript. It is a transcript of the gene named rho-related GTP-binding protein RhoQ pseudogene, with no coding region annotated. NCBI's taxonomy places the organism in Eukaryota, Metazoa, Chordata, Mammalia, Primates, Cercopithecidae. The record is from RefSeq and is a predicted model, not a curated record. The transcript has a single exon.